GACGAACGCUGGCAGCGUGCUUAACACAUGCAAGUCGAACGGAAAGGCCCUGCCUUUGUGGGGUGCUCGAGUGGCGAACGGGUGAGUAACACGUGAGUAACCUGCCCUUGACUUUGGGAUAACUUCAGGAAACUGGGGCUAAUACCGGAUAGGAGCUCCUGCUGCAUGGUGGGGGUUGGAAAGUUUCGGCGGUUGGGGAUGGACUCGCGGCUUAUCAGCUUGUUGGUGGGGUAGUGGCUUACCAAGGCUUUGACGGGUAGCCGGCCUGAGAGGGUGACCGGCCACAUUGGGACUGAGAUACGGCCCAGACUCCUACGGGAGGCAGCAGUGGGGAAUAUUGCACAAUGGGCGGAAGCCUGAUGCAGCAACGCCGCGUGCGGGAUGACGGCCUUCGGGUUGUAAACCGCUUUCGCCUGUGACGAAGCGUGAGUGACGGUAAUGGGUAAAGAAGCACCGGCUAACUACGUG
Molecule: ribosomal RNA, 468 nt
Filed under: uncultured bacterium
Lineage: Bacteria
Description: partial 16S ribosomal RNA
Rfam family: Bacterial small subunit ribosomal RNA
Source: RNAcentral